UAGGGAAUCUUCGGCAAUGGACGGAAGUCUGACCGAGCAACGCCGCGUGAGUGAAGAAGGUUUUCGGAUCGUAAAGCUCUGUUGUAAGAGAAGAACGAGUGUGAGAGUGGAAAGUUCACACUGUGACGGUAUCUUACCAGAAAGGGACGGCUAACUACGUGCCAGCAGCCGCGGUAAUACGUAGGUCCCGAGCGUUGUCCGGAUUUAUUGGGCGUAAAGCGAGCGCAGGCGGUUAGAUAAGUCUGAAGUUAAAGGCUGUGGCUUAACCAUAGUACGCUUUGGAAACUGUUUAACUUGAGUGCAAGAGGGGAGAGUGGAAUUCCAUGUGUAGCGGUGAAAUGCGUAGAUAUAUGGAGGAACACCGGUGGCGAAAGCGGCUCUCUGGCUUGUAACUGACACUGAGGCUCGAAAGCGUGGGGAGCAAACAGGAUUAGAUACCCUGGUAGUCCACGCCGUAAACGAUGAGUGCUAGGUGUUAGACCCUUUCCGGGGUUUAGUGCCGCAGCUAACGCAUUAAGCACUCCGCCUGGGGAGUACGACCGCAAGGUUG
This 550-nucleotide ribosomal RNA is filed under the name uncultured bacterium. RNAcentral's name for it is "bacterial SSU rRNA". It matches the Rfam family "Bacterial small subunit ribosomal RNA", at positions 355 to 896 of the family's 1533-position model. The record is from RNAcentral.